Molecule: ribosomal RNA, 506 nt
Filed under: uncultured bacterium
Lineage: Bacteria
Description: partial 16S ribosomal RNA
Rfam family: Bacterial small subunit ribosomal RNA
Source: RNAcentral
AGUGAACGCUGGCGGUAGGCCUAACACAUGCAAGUCGAACGGCAGCACAGAGGAGCUUGCUCCUUGGGUGGCGAGUGGCGGACGGGUGAGGAAUACAUCGGAAUCUACUCUGUCGUGGGGGAUAACGUAGGGAAACUUACGCUAAUACCGCAUACGACCUACGGGUGAAAGCAGGGGAUCUUCGGACCUUGCGCGAUUGAAUGAGCCGAUGUCGGAUUAGCUAGUUGGCGGGGUAAAGGCCCACCAAGGCGACGAUCCGUAGCUGGUCUGAGAGGAUGAUCAGCCACACUGGAACUGAGACACGGUGCAGACUCCUACGGGAGGCAGCAGUGGGGAAUAUUGGACAAUGGGCGCAAGCCUGAUUCAGCCAUACCGCGUGGGUGAAGAAGGCCUUCGGGUUGUAAAGCCCUUUUGUUGGGAAAGAAAUCCAUCUGGUUAAUACCCGGGUGGGAUGACGGUACCCAAAGAAUAAGCACCGGCUAACUUCGUGCCAGCAGCCGCGGUAA